Molecule: unclassified non-coding RNA, 257 nt
Filed under: Hevea brasiliensis (rubber tree)
Lineage: Eukaryota; Viridiplantae; Streptophyta; Magnoliopsida; Malpighiales; Euphorbiaceae
Source: RNAcentral
UCCCCUCUUUCUUUUUGAUUAUGACGUUCUAAAUUGCCCUAAAAAUCUCUACUUGAAUGGUUGCCUCCACCCCCCUAAAGCUUAUUUAUUUAUUUGUACUUUCACUAUUCCAAGAAUCUUGAUCUUCAUUCAAUGGCACCCUGAUACUGUUUCCUAGUACUCUGUUUUGGGUUCAGGAUGCAAGUGAAACUGUUAAAGAUGGAAGCUUCUUGCAAUUUCUGCAGUAGCAUCUAUACUUUAGCUCCUAGUUGCCUCAG